Molecule: unclassified non-coding RNA, 624 nt
Filed under: Hevea brasiliensis (rubber tree)
Lineage: Eukaryota; Viridiplantae; Streptophyta; Magnoliopsida; Malpighiales; Euphorbiaceae
Source: RNAcentral
GAGUAGAUUCGACGGUAUGCCAGUAGCGUAUAGAAGUUCUACGAACCUUCUUUCAUGAUGUGGCUUUUUGUUAUGUCGAGAUUUGCUUGGUGUUCAGUGUACCUAAUGCAUUUCCCAAGCUCAAAAGAGUAUAACUAAACGAGCUGCUAACUAAAAAAAGAAUAAAAGAAGGAAGGUAGUUUUCCUAGUGCCUUCGUGACAGGCUCUACAGGGCUCAUUAGACUUAGGGAAUCGACUUUCAAUACUUAGCCGAUAUGGAAUUUUCAUGCUUACCCUAUAUCUGAGUGAAUGUCCUUUAGGGAAGGAUAGAAUGACCCUUUUUCACCUGAGAUAUCUAAGGAAACUGGAUACAUUUCUUUUCCUAUAACCUUUCAAUAGCUGUUUGAGCUUUCCUGUCCUUUGAAUUUGCCUUCAAAAGGCGCAAUUUCAUCCCCGUUACAUCUCUCUUUCAUCCCUGUACUUUCAACUACUGGAAUGGUGUGGAACCCAAGCUAACUAUCCACCUGAAUGGAAAGACAGAAUUCCUUAUUGACUACAUCCUUCUUUGCUAAGCAAAUCCCUUGACCAGGUCGAAGCAGCAGCGUCUCUAACCGGACAUGAGGGAUAUCAUUUCUAAGGUUUCGG